RNAcentral lists this long non-coding RNA (246 nucleotides) under Homo sapiens (human). RNAcentral's name for it is "HSALNT0011744". Lineage: Eukaryota; Metazoa; Chordata; Mammalia; Primates; Hominidae. The record is from RNAcentral.
UCAAGCUACCGUUGGCCAAGACAGUUUCAAAAUGGAAACGAACAUGGUUAAUUUCCGCAAUGUAGUGGAUGGCCAGCCUUUUACAAACUGGUAUGAUAAUGGGAGCAACCAAGUGGCUUUUGGGAGAGGAAACAGAGGAUUCAUUGUUUUCAACAAUGAUGACUGGACAUUUUCUUUAACUUUGCAAACUGGUCUUCCUGCUGGCACAUACUGUGAUGUCAUUUCUGGAGAUAAAAUUAAUGGCAA